RNAcentral lists this ribosomal RNA (725 nucleotides) under uncultured bacterium. RNAcentral describes it as "bacterial SSU rRNA". It matches the Rfam family "Bacterial small subunit ribosomal RNA", at positions 771 to 1501 of the family's 1533-position model. The record is from RNAcentral.
AACAGGAUUAGAUACCCUGGUAGUCCACGCCCUAAACGAUGUCUACUAGUUGUUGGGUCUUAAUUGACUUAGUAACGCAGCUAACGCGUGAAGUAGACCGCCUGGGGAGUACGGUCGCAAGAUUAAAACUCAAAGGAAUUGACGGGGACCCGCACAAGCGGUGGAUGAUGUGGAUUAAUUCGAUGCAACGCGAAAAACCUUACCUACCCUUGACAUGUCAGGAACCUUGGAGAGAUCUGAGGGUGCCCGAAAGGGAACCUGAACACAGGUGCUGCAUGGCUGUCGUCAGCUCGUGUCGUGAGAUGUUGGGUUAAGUCCCGCAACGAGCGCAACCCUUGUCAUUAGUUGCUACGAAAGGGCACUCUAAUGAGACUGCCGGUGACAAACCGGAGGAAGGUGGGGAUGACGUCAAGUCCUCAUGGCCCUUAUGGGUAGGGCUUCACACGUCAUACAAUGGUACAUACAGAGGGCCGCCAACCCGCGAGGGGGAGCUAAUCCCAGAAAGUGUAUCGUAGUCCGGAUUGUAGUCUGCAACUCGACUGCAUGAAGUUGGAAUCGCUAGUAAUCGCGGAUCAGCAUGUCGCGGUGAAUACGUUCCCGGGUCUUGUACACACCGCCCGUCACACCAUGGGAGCGGGUUUUACCAGAAGUAGGUAGCUUAACCGCAAGGAGGGCGCUUACCACGGUAGGAUUCGUGACUGGGGUGAAGUCGUAACAAGGUAACC